RNAcentral lists this ribosomal RNA (205 nucleotides) under uncultured bacterium. RNAcentral describes it as "partial 16S ribosomal RNA". It matches the Rfam family "Bacterial small subunit ribosomal RNA", at positions 524 to 730 of the family's 1533-position model. The record is from RNAcentral.
UACGUAGGGUGCAAGCGUUGUCCGGAAUUAUUGGGCGUAAAGAGCUCGUAGGCGGUUUGUCGCGUCGAAUGUGAAAACCCGGGGCUCAACCCCGGGCCGCAUUCGAUACGGGCAGACUAGAGUUCGGUAGGGGAGUCUGGAAUUCCUGGUGUAGCGGUGAAAUGCGCAGAUAUCAGGAGGAACACCGGUGGCGAAGGCGGACUUC